Molecule: ribosomal RNA, 940 nt
Filed under: Aliarcobacter cibarius
Lineage: Bacteria; Pseudomonadati; Campylobacterota; Epsilonproteobacteria; Campylobacterales; Arcobacteraceae
Description: bacterial SSU rRNA
Rfam family: Bacterial small subunit ribosomal RNA
Source: RNAcentral
AUAGUUGUCAGCUAAGUGGCGCACGGGUGAGUAAUGUAUAGGUAAUAUGCCUCUUACUAAGGGAUAACAAAUGGAAACGUUUGCUAAUACCUUAUACUCCUUAUUAACAGAAGUUAAUAAGGGAAAGAUUUAUUGGUAAGAGAUUAGCCUGUAUUGUAUCAGUUAGUUGGUGGGGUAAUGGCUUACCAAGACUAUGACACAUAACUGGUUUGAGAGGAUGAUCAGUCACACUGGAACUGAGACACGGUCCAGACUCCUACGGGAGGCAGCAGUGGGGAAUAUUGCACAAUGGACGAAAGUCUGAUGCAGCAACGCCGCGUGGAGGAUGACACAUUUCGGUGCGUAAACUCCUUUUAUAUAAGAAGAUAAUGACGGUAUUAUAUGAAUAAGCACCGGCUAACUCCGUGCCAGCAGCCGCGGUAAUACGGGGGGUGCAAGCGUUACUCGGAAUCACUGGGCGUAAAGAGCAUGUAGGCGGAUUAAUAAGUUUGAAGUGAAAUCCUAUAGCUUAACUAUAGAACUGCUUUGAAAACUGUUGAUCUAGAAUGUGGGAGAGGUAGAUGGAAUUUCUGGUGUAGGGGUAAAAUCCGUAGAGAUCAGAAGGAAUACCGAUUGCGAAGGCGAUUUACUGGAACACAAUUGACGCUGAGAUGCGAAAGCGUGGGGAGCAAACAGGAUUAGAUACCCUGGUAGUCCACGCCCUAAACGAUGUACACUAGUUGUUGUGAGACUAGAUCUUGCAGUAAUGCAGUUAACACAUUAAGUGUACCGCCUGGGGAGUACGGUCGCAAGAUUAAAACUCAAAGGAAUAGACGGGGACCCGCACAAGCGGUGGAGCAUGUGGUUUAAUUCGACGAUACACGAAGAACCUUACCUGGACUUGACAUAGUAAGAACUUUCUAGAGAUAGAUUGGUGUCUGCUUGCAGAAACUUAUAUACA